This 292-nucleotide long non-coding RNA is filed under the name Bos taurus (domestic cattle). RNAcentral describes it as "long non-coding RNA NONBTAT001024". The record is from RNAcentral. Lineage: Eukaryota; Metazoa; Chordata; Mammalia; Artiodactyla; Bovidae.
GGUAAUUGUAAUUUUAUGAACUCAGUCUCUGGCUAAUAUGAGUAUUCAAAUGAAUGUCUUCUCAAAAUGAGUUACACAGCAAAUAAUUUGAUGCUAUUUAUGUUUGUUUUGUUUUUAACAUUACUUCUGCUAAUUUAACAGCUAAUAGAAGGCAGUAUUUGAGAUCAGCUAUUAGAAAGUUAUCAGGAGGUUAAUUAUACAUAUUUAGGGAAUAUUUUAAUCUCUCAGGAAGAUAACAACCUUCAUCCUAACUAGGUAGUUAAAUAAUUUUAGCAUGUAAUAUUAACAAGUU